UGAGUAACCUGCCCUUAACUCUGGGAUAAGCCUGGGAAACUGGGUCUAAUACCGGAUAUGACUCCUCAUCGCAUGGUGGGGGGUGGAAAGCUUUAUUGCGGUUUUGGAUGGACUCGCGGCCUAUCAGCUUGUUGGUGAGGUAAUGGUUCACCAAGGCGACGACGGGUAGCCGGCCUGAGAGGGUGACCGGCCACACUGGGACUGAGACACGGCCCAGACUCCUACGGGAGGCAG
This 234-nucleotide ribosomal RNA is filed under the name uncultured bacterium. RNAcentral describes it as "partial 16S ribosomal RNA". It matches the Rfam family "Bacterial small subunit ribosomal RNA", at positions 118 to 351 of the family's 1533-position model. The record is from RNAcentral.